Molecule: ribosomal RNA, 670 nt
Filed under: Gloniopsis calami
Lineage: Eukaryota; Fungi; Ascomycota; Dothideomycetes; Hysteriales; Hysteriaceae
Description: eukaryotic LSU rRNA
Rfam family: 5.8S ribosomal RNA (bases 342-495)
Source: RNAcentral
GUAACAAGGUUUCCGUAGGUGAACCUGCGGAAGGAUCAUUACCAGUAGGAUUGCAAGACGCGCGAGGGGGGUAGGGCAACCUAACCCACCCGAUCGGUCGGAACCGUGCCCACAUACUGCGGGGAGCCUUGCGGCUCUCUCGAGGGGGGCGUGGCGGCUCGUCCGCCCGCCUGUAGACGGGACCUUCCCUUUAGAUGGGGCCUCUCCGCCGUUCUUGCCUUCCACAACCUUCACCCUUGAUUACCCUAGCCUUUGUUGCCUCGGCAGGUCCGCCUGCCAGAGGACACAACCCAAACUACUGUUGUUAACAGCGAAGUCUGAGCUACAAAGCAAUUGUUUAAAACUUUCAACAACGGAUCUCUUGGUUCUGGCAUCGAUGAAGAACGCAGCGAAAUGCGAUAAGUAGUGUGAAUUGCAGAAUUCAGUGAAUCAUCGAAUCUUUGAACGCACAUUGCGCCCUUUGGCAUCCCGAAGGGCAUGCCUGUUCGAGCGUCAUUUCACCAAUCAAGCUUGGCUUGGUGUUGGGUGCCGUCCCGCCUCUAGCGCGCGGACGCUCCCUAAAAUCAUCGGCGGUGCAGCACCGGCUUCGAGCGCAGCAGAUGUUCGCUCUGUGGGUCUGGUGAGGCAGCGGCCGCGACGACAACCUCUAGGUGACCUCGGAUCAGGUAGA